This is a long non-coding RNA of Alligator mississippiensis (American alligator), 1569 nucleotides long. RefSeq lists it as uncharacterized. The transcript is spliced from 2 exons. The record is from RefSeq and is a predicted model, not a curated record. Lineage: Eukaryota; Metazoa; Chordata; Crocodylia; Alligatoridae.
UGGGAGCCCAGACAAGCAUCCCAGCGCGCUCCACGCCCAGCCCAGCUUCCUGCUGCGCCCGCGCCCCUGGGCGCUGCGCCUUCCCGCUCCUGCAACACGCCUUGUCGGGCACAGGGCACGGUGGCGGUUCCCAGGCCGGCGUCCGUCUGAGGGCUCGGCCACGGGCCAGCGGGGGAGACCGGCGGGGUCUGCAGGUCUCCGAGGAGCUGGAGAGCCGCAGAGAAGCCCGGCAGGGCGCGACGUGGCCGGAGCAGCCACACCUGGGCUGCGUGGGAUGCUGGCAGACACGGGGGCGGGAUGGGAGCCCAGCGGCGCGGGCGAUGGGGAAGGCAGAGCCUGGGCGACUGGCUUUGCCAGUGAAGCAGAGGUGGGUGCGAGGCAGCCGAGCGCCUGGGGCACAGACGUGGCUGCCGAGCUGCUGAUCCCCCCCGUGCAAGACACCGACCGGCUGUGAAUUGCAGGUAACUUCCCCUCGGUGCAGAAGCACUUCUCCAGCUGGCCUCGGUGCAGCUGAUGGCCUGGGUUUUCCAGCUUCCCAAGGAAACGUCGCAGUGUGACCUUUUACCAUUUGUACAGCUCAGGGGGGACUGCUAAGAGCAAGGCCCCUGCCCGCGCUGGCCACGCUGUCUGACCCCAGCUUAGCUUUAUUCUGUUAAAAGGCACCAUAAAGGCAGCACGGCUCUUUAUUGAUGUUUCUCUGUGGCGGAGGGAGCUUGGCAGCAGGCUUUCAGAGAGAAGCUCAUUUCGGGCUUCCCUAGAAGGACUGAUUUCUAUCAGAAGAAUAGCCAGCGAGUCGAUGAGGGUUUUCCUGUGAGCAUCUCCCAUCCCCAUUGCUGCUAAUACAGAGUUGCAAUCUCUGAAGCCGAUGCCUCGAGGCAGCCCCAGAGAGACUAGGAACGCUGACCUCUCGUUUGCGCCUAAUUGCAGGGGAUACAUGUCCUCAGCCAGGCUGCUUCUCGCUAGCCUGAGUGAAAGGGGCCACAACUCGUGGGUGGCUGCUGCGGGGCAGCGCAGCCAACGCGUGCAGCAGGAGCCGUGGCGCUCGCCUGCCUCUUAGCUGCGCAGUGCUUUCCUUUAAACAGCGGCCAUGCAGCCGCGUUAUCCUGAGGGCCGGCGGCCGGAGCCUUGUUUGCACGGCCGUGACAAGCGUGGGCUGGAGUAGCGCGCGGCCGCUAUCACGGAACGAGCGCAACAAUGACUCUGUCAAAGAGAGACGGCUCAGGGCCCCAGAGAGGCUGAAGAAUAAAGGCUUGUUUGGGGGGCUCUAUUCAUCGGGCCCCUUCCGUAGGUGGACGGCAGCAGAUUAGAAGGAAACAUUAUCUCUCUGGGCAAGUUCAGAAGGGCAAGCGAAGCCAAACUGGCACGGGCUGUGUCUCAAUGCAUCGCUCUCUUCGCUCCCCGAGUCCGUGAGAACAAAGUGCUCAGUGUAAAUGCUUACCAGGCCCUUUUCUUUCCCUGCGGGACUACCAAAGUUCAGCAUGAGACGGAGGCCACGUGUUGGCUAUUCGUCCCCUACAAAGAGCGUUUGAGGCCAGAAUUUAGAGUCUCAUAAAAACAUUAUUGUCUGCA